UGUAAGCGUAUACCAAAGUUGUUGCAGUUAAAACGCUCGUAGUCGGAAUUUGGCAGUUCCGGAUGUGUGCACGUCGUGUGCGCACUUCGCGGGGAUUGCUUUUGUGGUCUUGCGUAGGAUGAGGCACUUUUAUUAGUGAACGUCCUCACGCAACCACUUUUUACUGUGAGAAAAUCAGAGUGCUCAAAGCAGGCAUUUGCCGUGAAUGUAUUAGCAUGGAAUAAUAGAAUAGGACUUGGUUCUAUUUUGUUGGUUUGUUGGGACUGAGUAAUGAUUAAGAGGGGCAGUUGGGGGCAUUUGUAUUUCGGUGCUAGAGGUGAAAUUCUUAGAUUACCGAAAGACAAACUGCUGCGAAAGCGUCUGCCAAGGAUGUUUUCAUUGA
RNAcentral lists this ribosomal RNA (382 nucleotides) under uncultured eukaryote. RNAcentral describes it as "partial 18S ribosomal RNA". It matches the Rfam family "Eukaryotic small subunit ribosomal RNA", at positions 592 to 976 of the family's 1831-position model. The record is from RNAcentral.